ACGGGAGGCAGCAGUAGGGAAUAUUGCACAAUGGGGGAAACCCUGAUGCAGCGACGCCGCGUGAGUGAUGAAGUAUUUCGGUACGUAAAGCUCUAUCAGCAGGGAAGAUAAUGACGGUACCUGACUAAGAAGCCCCGGCUAACUACGUGCCAGCAGUCGCGGUAAUACGUAGGGGGCAAGCGUUAUCCGGAUUUACUGGGUGUAAAGGGAGUGUAGGUGGCCUGGCAAGCCAGAUGUGAAAGCCCGCGGCUCAACCGCGGGACUGCAUUUGGAACUGUUAGGCUUGAGUGCAGGAGAGGAAAGUGGAAUUCCUAGUGUAGCGGUGAAAUGCGUAGAUAUUAGGAGGAACACCAGUGGCGAAGGCGGCUUACUGGACUGUAACUGACGUUGAGGCUCGAAAGCGUGGGGAGCAAACAGGAUUAGAUACCCUGGUA
This 434-nucleotide ribosomal RNA is filed under the name uncultured Lachnospiraceae bacterium. RNAcentral describes it as "bacterial SSU rRNA". It matches the Rfam family "Bacterial small subunit ribosomal RNA", at positions 341 to 792 of the family's 1533-position model. Lineage: Bacteria; Bacillati; Bacillota; Clostridia; Lachnospirales; Lachnospiraceae. The record is from RNAcentral.